This 406-nucleotide ribosomal RNA is filed under the name uncultured bacterium. RNAcentral describes it as "partial 16S ribosomal RNA". It matches the Rfam family "Bacterial small subunit ribosomal RNA", at positions 30 to 526 of the family's 1533-position model. The record is from RNAcentral.
AUUGAACGCUGGCGGCAGGCUUAACACAUGCAAGUCGAACGAGUGGCGGACGGGUGAGUAAUGCUUGGGAAUCUGGCUUAUGGAGGGGGAUAACGACGGGAAACUGUCGCUAAUACCGCGUACCAUAGGCUGAGCCCACGGGGGAUUAGGUAGUUGGUGGGGUAAUGGCAUACCAAGCCGACGGUCUCUAGCUGGUCUGAGAGGAUGACCAGCCAAACCGGGACUGAGACAUGGGCCAGACUCCUACGGGAGGCAGCAGUGGGGAAUCUUCGGAAAUGGACGACAGGCUUACGGAGCAACGCCGCGGGAGUGAUGACGGCCUUCGGGUUGUAAAGCUCUGUUAAUCGGGAGACGGUACCGGAAUAGAAAGCCACGGCUAACUACGUGCCAGCAGCCGCGGUAAUUC